RNAcentral lists this ribosomal RNA (484 nucleotides) under uncultured bacterium. RNAcentral's name for it is "partial 16S ribosomal RNA". It matches the Rfam family "Bacterial small subunit ribosomal RNA", at positions 28 to 507 of the family's 1533-position model. The record is from RNAcentral.
GAUUAACGCUAGCGGCAGGCAUAAUACAUGCAAGUUGAACGGCAGCACAGGUAGCAAUACUGGGUGGCGAGUGGCGCACGGGUGCGUAACACGUAUGCAACCUACCCUAUACAGGCGAAUAACCUUUAGAAAUGAGGGCUAAUACGCCGUAGUAUUACAGAUGGGCAUCUAUUUGUAAUUAAAGAUUUAUCGGUAUAGGAUGGGCAUGCGUCCCAUUAGUUAGUUGGUAAGGUAACGGCUUACCAAGACGAUGAUGGGUAGGGGAUCUGAGAGGACUUACCCCCACACUGGUACUGAGACACGGACCAGACUCCUACGGGAGGCAGCAGUAAGGAAUAUUGGGCAAUGGCCGCGACGCUGACCCAGCCAUGCCGCGUGCAGGAAGACGGCCUUAUGGGUUGUAAACUGCUUUUAUACGGGAAUAAUAGAGUGUACGCGUACAUUUAUGCAAGUAUCGUAUGAAUAAGCAUCGGCUAACUCCGUG